This 253-nucleotide ribosomal RNA is filed under the name uncultured bacterium. RNAcentral's name for it is "partial 16S ribosomal RNA". It matches the Rfam family "Bacterial small subunit ribosomal RNA", at positions 524 to 776 of the family's 1533-position model. The record is from RNAcentral.
UACGGGGGGGGCAAGCGUUGUUCGGAAUUACUGGGCGUAAAGGGCGCGUAGGCGGCCUGCUAAGUCGGAUGUGAAAUCCCUCGGCUCAACCGAGGAACUGCAUCCGAUACUGGCGGGCUUGAAUCCGGGAGAGGGAUGUGGAAUUCCAGGUGUAGCGGUGAAAUGCGUAGAUAUCUGGAGGAACACCGGUGGCGAAGGCGGCAUCCUGGACCGGUAUUGACGCUGAGGCGCGAAAGCGUGGGGAGCAAACGGG